CCUACGGGAGGCAGCAGUGGGGAAUAUUGGACAAUGGGCGAAAGCCUGAUCCAGCCAUGCCGCGUGUGUGAAGAAGGCCUUCGGGUUGUAAAGCACUUUCAGUGGGGAAGAAAGCCUUGGGGCUAAUACCCUCGAGGAAGGACAUCACCCACAGAAGAAGCACCGGCUAACUCCGUGCCAGCAGCCGCGGUAAUACGGAGGGUGCGAGCGUUAAUCGGAAUUACUGGGCGUAAAGCGCGCGUAGGCGGUCUGAUAAGCCGGUUGGGAAAGCCCCGGGCUCAACCUGGGAACGGCAUCCGGAACUGUCAGGCUAGAGUGCAGGAGAGGAAGGUAGAAUUCCCGGUGUAGCAGUGAAAUGCGUAGAGAUCGGGAGGAAUACCAGUGGCGAAGGCGGCCUUCUGGACUGACACUGACGCUGAGGUGCGAAAGCGUGGGUAGCAAACAGGAUUAGAUACCCUUGUAGUC
Molecule: ribosomal RNA, 465 nt
Filed under: Vreelandella stevensii
Lineage: Bacteria; Pseudomonadati; Pseudomonadota; Gammaproteobacteria; Oceanospirillales; Halomonadaceae
Description: partial 16S ribosomal RNA
Rfam family: Bacterial small subunit ribosomal RNA
Source: RNAcentral